CUGGCCGUAAACGAUGAAUGCUAGGUGUGGGUGUCGAGAGGCAUCCGUGCCGGAGUUAACGCGAUAAGCAUUCCGCCUGGGGAGUACGGCCGCAAGGUUGAAACUCAAAGGAAUUGACGGGGGCCCGCACAAGCGGUGGAGCACGUGGUUUAAUUCGAUGCAAACCGAAGAACCUUACCUGGGUUUGACAUGUACGUAGUACGGAUCUGAAAGGUGAAGGACCGUACCUUCGGGUACGGAGCGUACACAGGUGC
This 254-nucleotide ribosomal RNA is filed under the name uncultured Aminobacterium sp. RNAcentral's name for it is "partial 16S ribosomal RNA". It matches the Rfam family "Bacterial small subunit ribosomal RNA", at positions 796 to 1041 of the family's 1533-position model. Lineage: Bacteria; Thermotogati; Synergistota; Synergistia; Synergistales; Aminobacteriaceae. The record is from RNAcentral.